Molecule: ribosomal RNA, 289 nt
Filed under: uncultured Erythrobacteraceae bacterium
Lineage: Bacteria; Pseudomonadati; Pseudomonadota; Alphaproteobacteria; Sphingomonadales; Erythrobacteraceae
Description: partial 16S ribosomal RNA
Source: RNAcentral
CUACACGGGUUUCUAAUCCUGUUUGCUCCCCACGCUUUCGCACCUCAGCGUCAAUACUUGUCCAGCGAGUCGCCUUCGCCACUGGUGUUCUUCCGAAUAUCUACGAAUUUCACCUCUACACUCGGAAUUCCACUCGCCUCUCCAAGAUUCUAGCCAUCCAGUUUCAAGGGCAGUUCCGGGGUUGAGCCCCGGGAUUUCACCCCUGACUUGGAAAGCCGCCUACGUGCGCUUUACGCCCAGUAAUUCCGAACAACGCUAGCUCCCUCCGUAUUACCGCGGCUGCUGGCAC